This 392-nucleotide ribosomal RNA is filed under the name uncultured bacterium. RNAcentral describes it as "partial 16S ribosomal RNA". It matches the Rfam family "Bacterial small subunit ribosomal RNA", at positions 523 to 918 of the family's 1533-position model. The record is from RNAcentral.
AUACGGCGGAUCCGAGCGUUAUCCGGAUUUAUUGGGUUUAAAGGGUGCGCAGGCGGCCAUUUAAGUCAGCGGUUAAAUCGUGGGGCUCAACCCCAUUCUGCCGUUGAUACUGGGUGGCUUGAUUGCGGUCGAGGUUGGCGGAAUUCGUUGUGUAGAGGUGAAAUGCAUAGAUAUGACGAAGAACACCGAUUGCGUAGGCAGCUGACCAGAUCGCAAAUGACGCUCAUGCACGAAAGUGCGGGGAUCGAACAGGAUUAGAUACCCUGGUAGUCCGCACAGUAAACGAUGAAUACUUGUUUUCGGCGAUAUAAUGUCGGAGGCAAAGCGAAAGCGAUAAGUAUUCCACCUGGGGAGUACGCCGGCAACGGUGAAACUCAAAGGAAUUGACGGGG